GUCUUCAUUCGUCCUAUCUAAGAGGUAAUGGAAAGAUAAAUGCUUUAUACGCUUGUUUUCUUCCUGGUAUAUAAUUAGUGUGCGGAACGUUUACCCCUAACAAUGAUGCCAUUACUUCAUCUGAUGAGUAUUUUAAUUGUUGGGAUUACAAAGGGUGUUUCAAUGAACUCCCCAUCUCUUAACACCUUGACGUCUUAUCGGGUUGAUGAGGGUCAAACAAUUAGUCUGAAAUGUUCGGUAUUUGUAACCGCAUCGGAGCUAAUCACGUGGUACUGGACAUGUGGAGAUGACGACCUGACACGGAAUUCUACUUCCAACGGAAAAAUUACGACACUGACGUUCAAAGCAGACAGAAAAUUCAACGGCAAAUAUUGUUACUGUACAGCUAAAUCCACAUCUCUAAAUCAGACGAAUGAAGUCAAAUCCAGGUUCCAGAGCAUACAAGUCUACUAUGCUCCUUUGUCGUCGCCAACUUUGAAUGCCUCACAAGUAGUUUUGACCUCUAAAAGCGAUACAACACUGCUCUGUUCCAUAGAAUCGCUUGGAAACCCUCCAAUUCGCUGGUCUUGGAAAUGCGGAACCCAGACAAUCCGUAGAAGGAUAACUAGCAUUGGUUUGACGUCCAAUAUUAUUCUCACAGCUGACCCAAAUCUAGAUGGCAAAUCCUGCUACUGUACAGCGGAGAGUAGUUCUUCAAGGUAUAGGUUCGAGGCGUCUUCAAAUGCUGCAGCCGUAACGAUUCUUUAUUUUCCAUCAGGCUUUCCUCGUAUCAGCAGGAGUUCAGCCAUUGUUAAAGUUGGAUUACCAGUUACCCUUCAGUGUUCAUUGCCAUCUGCAGGAAAUCCACAGGUCACGUGGUCGUGGCAUUGUAAUGGUGCUUUAAUUACCGAAAAUGUCAGGAAUAUGGGCCGAACCACAGAGAUCUCAUUUAUAUCAAAAAGGACGGGCGAAAAAGUUUGCCAUUGUAGAGCUAAAAGUAGCAUUUCGAGAAGUAUAGUUUCGUUCAUAUCUCGGGAAGACUUUGAACGAAAUUCAUCGAAUAGUUAUAUAAGAAUAACAGACACAGAUAUUGUGAAUUACUCAGAAGAAUCGAAGAAUAUUGGUAUUUCGCCCGCAGCAUUUGGAGCGACUUUGACCAUCCUUUUAGUUGUCAUUGUCACCUGCACUGCCCUCGUCGUUAUUCAACACAGAAGGAUUCCGAAAGAGUCAUCGUUGCUAUCUUGGUUCCUCGUCAAAAUAGGUAGACAACCAAGCACGAAAAGUGAGUCAGACGCUGGAGUUGUCACAGAGGAGCAUAGUUAUGAAGUACUACAAAGUGGAAACCAAAAGAAAAGUUAGUACUGUGUUUUAAUAGUGCGACCUCGGUCAGUGAAACCCAAAAUUUAUAUGUAAUGCCUUUAAUAACAGCUAUACAUGUAAAUACUGUAAGGUUGAACAACAUAUUAUCUGAGAUAUCGAGUAUUUCAUUCAACAUUUAUCACAGCAGGCGUUGACACAAUAAAGGACUCGAAAUACUAAAUACGGUCCUGGGCGCCUUUUGUGUUACAUGUACUUCACCUAAAGCUGUAAGACUGAAAAACAGUUGACCAAUAAAUUAUACACUGUACAUUUAUAGGCGUUCACUAAAACGAUAUCUAUAAUGAAGUUUAAAGCUUGGCUAGAGAAAAAUUGCAGAAUUUGAAUUUGUAAAAAGGGCUAACACGCUUGUUAAAAUGUCAGCUAUGAGGAAUAUUUAUUUUGUUGUUGAUUAGAAAACUGCAUUGAGAGUUUCACAUCAGAAACUCCGAAUGAUGAGAAUUUUAUGCAAAGAACAGUAUAAUUCAAUCUUGAUCAAUAGUGAGGAAAGUCAGUCAUUAGGUGUUCAUAUAAAAUCUACUCACGAUAUGCCCAAAGUGGAAUUUAAAAAAAUUGUAUGGCUGAUGCAAUUACGGAUCUUUAUUGUUUCUAUGUAGAUGAUGAAGAGAGGGUUCCAACGUAUCAAAAUAUACACAUGCAAAAGACCCGCAAAAAGAAAAAAGUGAUCAACAAUUGAAUAUUUCUCUGUGUACUAUAUCUAUACAUGUGUAUUUACUGUAUCUUUAUUUUGAAAUGAUUUUUAUUGGUGAUAUUAUGUACUGAAGCUUGUCGUACAUGAUUGAUUCUAUAUUGUUUAACGUACCUCUCGAGAAUCUUUCACUCAUUUGAAGACGUCACCACUGCCGGUGAAGGGCUGCAAGAUUUGGGCCAAUGCUCGGCGCUGACGGUCUUUGAGCAAGGAGGAGUCUUUGUCGUGCCACACCUACUGUGACUCGGGGCCUAGUUUUUGUUGUCUCAUCCGAAGGACCGCCCCAUUUAAUCGCCUUUUACGAUAAGCAAGGAAUAAUGGGGACCUAUUCUAACCCGGAUCUCCACGGGAUGCCGUACGUGCUAUUUCCAACAUUUACCAGUUUUCAAUCUUCUGAUUUUUUCACUAUUUUCGCCUCCUUCAUAAAUUAUUCACAGUACUUAGAGUAGAUAAAGACUGUUACAAGGGCGUAAUAAAGGACAGGUUUACCUCUACAGAUGUGGGGGGGGGGGGGGGUAUAUGUAUGUUACAAGGGCGUAAUAAAGGACAGGUUUACCUCAUACAGCUCUGUGUGUGUGUGGGGGGGGGGGGGGGGGGGUAUAUGUAUAUGUAUGUUACAAGGGCGUAAUAAAGGACAGGUUUACUUCAUACAGAUGUGUGGUGGUGGGGGGGGGGGGGGGUAUAUGUAUGUUACAAGGGCGUAAUAAAGGACAGGUUUACCUCAUACAGAUAUGGGGGGUAUAUGUAUAAUAAUGUCCCCUUCUCAUUUUCUUUUAAUUUCACAAGUAAACUUUAUAAAACAGAAUUUAUCACUUUGGUUGCUAGACCUCUGACCGAAUCAAUUGUUAAGCCGUUCUUUGCAUACUGAUUAUGCCUCUCCUCUUCCAGGGGAAAGAUGUUUAUGUCCUUAUGUCUGUCACAAAGCCUUGUGAAUGCUUCUCCUUCGGUAUGGCUUAUCGAAUAGACUUGAAACUUUGUACAAUACUUCAUUUGCAAUUUUACAAUACUUCAUUGUGCAUAUUGUCGGAACGUGAGAAUCCAAUUAUUUUUCUAAAAGUUAUAGUAGAUCUAAGAGGGGUGGAGGAUGUGAAAUAGCUUGUGAACACUUCUCCUACCGUAGAUGACUUAUCCAAUAGACUUGAAACUUAGUACAAUACAUUGUACUUCAUUGCCAUUUGCAGAUGUGCAUAUUGUCAGGAUAGUUAUCCUUAAAGUUAUAGUGGAUCUAAGAUGGGUGUAAAAUAGCUUGUGAACACCUCUCCAACAUGGCUUAGCGGAUUGCAUUGAGAUUUUAUUUUAUUUUUUUACAAUACUCCAUUAUCGUUUAAUGAUGUUCAAAUUGUUCUGACCAAGGGCCUAAUAUUUCCUACAAUUUACAGUGGAUCAAAGAAAAAUGUUUUAUAUCUUUUUCGUGUACAAGGGUAUGUUCACUUUCCAACUCAUAGUUCAGUAAAACAGUAAUUAUUAGGACCCUGCAUGAACUGCGGAAGCCCUAUAAUUAUCACAUUGUCCGUCCGUCUGUCCGUCAAUACUUUCUUUGUGACACGAUAGCUCAAACAGUUUUCAUUGUACAGUUUUCAAAUUUUGUACAGAAAUAUUUUACAUUUAGAUGAAAACAUCUAUUGAUUUCGGGGUCCUGUCUCUUUGUCUGUAUGUAUGUCAUCAUCUUUCUUUUGAUGACUAUCUAUUUACCACUGUCUAAGGGAGAUAAUUCAAUUUGAAUUAUGAUAUAUUGUAUUAAUAUAGAACAUUUACCCCCAAAAACCCAGGGCCGUAAAUUACAUGGAGGCGGAGGAGGCAGCUGCCUCCUCCAACUUUUGAGCCAAAAAAAAUUAAAAUUUAAAGUUCAUUAGAAUUUAUGUUGUUUCCAAUAACUAAGAACAUGAUACCCCCUUAAAAAGCAUUCCAAAUCUUUCUUUUAGAAUGAGUUAGUCAAGUAACAUCUUAGAAGGCCCUAGAAUCAAGGAUUUUGCACGAAACGUGUUCAGUGUGCACAAAAUGUGCUCAGCGUCUGGGGGCCGCCCAGGCCCCCAGACCCCCGCCUAAUUUCCUGCCUCCUCCAAAUUGAAGGUUAAUUUACGGCCCUGAAACCUCUACAACAUUGUGUAUAUGUAUAUUGUUUAUAUGAUAUAAAAGAUGAUUGGUGUUACAUGUAUAUUAAAUUCAUUGUGCGUCAUUCCCAGUCAACUCUCGAUCGGGAAUACGAAAUUGAAUUUCUGACAUUUGUUUGCAAAGUGGAACUGCUUCAUUGAAUUAUGAACUAAUUGCACAUUACACCUGAGAUAAAUGUUCCUUUUAAUAAAAGAAAGUCACAAAA
Molecule: RNA transcript, 4361 nt
Organism: Ostrea edulis (European flat oyster)
Lineage: Eukaryota; Metazoa; Mollusca; Bivalvia; Ostreida; Ostreidae
Exons: 8
Source: RefSeq, a predicted model, not a curated record